GGACCCGCACAAGUAGUGGAGCAUGUGGUUUAAUUCGAAGAUACGCGCAGAACCUUACCAACACUUGACAUGUUCGUCGCGACUCUAAGAGAUUAGAGUUUUCGGUUCGGCCGGACGAAACACAGGUGCUGCAUGGCUGUCGUCAGCUCGUGUCGUGAGAUGUUGGGUUAAGUCCCGCAACGAGCGCAACCCUCACUUUUAGUUGCCAUCAUUUAGUUGGGCACUCUGAAAGAACUGCCAGUGAUAAGCUGGAGGAAGGUGGGGAUGACGUCAAGUCCUCAUGGCCCUUACGUGUUGGGCUACACACGUGCUACAAUGGUAUCUACAACAGGAUGCGAAACGGCGACGUUAAGCAAAUCCCUAAAAGAUACCUCAGUUCGGAUUGCACUCUGCAACUCGAGUGCAUGAAGCUGGAAUUACUAGUAAUCG
RNAcentral lists this ribosomal RNA (429 nucleotides) under uncultured bacterium. RNAcentral describes it as "bacterial SSU rRNA". It matches the Rfam family "Bacterial small subunit ribosomal RNA", at positions 917 to 1344 of the family's 1533-position model. The record is from RNAcentral.